This 2864-nucleotide long non-coding RNA is filed under the name Nicotiana tabacum (common tobacco). RNAcentral describes it as "long non-coding RNA (NTAB_LNC000842)". Lineage: Eukaryota; Viridiplantae; Streptophyta; Magnoliopsida; Solanales; Solanaceae. The record is from RNAcentral.
UUUUUUUUUUUGUAUUAUGUGUUCAUCCCUUUGUUAUGCAUAUUAAAACGAAAUGAACAUAAUAAUGGAGGAUGGUACUAAAAUCCAUAACGAAGAUUACAACAUCAAAAGAGUUUGACAAAAUAACUCACUCUCUCCUUUACAUCAUCUUCUUGACCAAAUUCCAUAUCGACCUCGUAUUAUGCAGAAUAGAGUAGGAUAACUUUUUGUGUUCAGCCACCUCAGAUUCUAUCCCCCACCCUGCAUAAAAAAGUUUAACAAAUUAUGAUGAAGGUAUAUAACAAUAUUUUGUAUUGCAAAUGCCAACCUAUCAGCAUUUGGCAUCACUUCUUCUGGAGAUAAUUGAGUACUAUCUUAGAUAUUUAAUAAGUCCUUCAAAAUCAUAAAGCGUAUGGAAGCAACAACAGCUUAACACCAACAUGGAGCAUUAAGAUGGCCCAAAUUAAAAUGCUUAAUAUACAUGUAUUUCAUCUGAAGCAAAAAAAAUUAAAAAAAAGGGAGAGAGAAUGGGACCAAGCGAGAGAAAAUUCAAACUUCUCAUCGUGAGAGAAACACUUGCAAGGGUCAAAAAUAUUCCUUUACUAUGCAAAAAGAUCAUAUAUAUACUGUCGGCUCAUCACUACCCGGCGUUAUAAAAUUAGUGCAAAAAUACCCUUCAUUUCCAUCCCACGUGGCCUGACGUUUUGCUGAUAAAGAUGCCACAUGGCAAUGCCACAUCACUGCCCCAACCCCAUUUAAUCCCCUCCCCCACUUCAUCCUCUAUAAUUGCACAAUUCUUAAAGAUGAAUCACAAAAAAUUCUUCCACAUUAUAUUUUAAUAAAAGCUCUUAAAUAACUUUUAAAUAAAUGGAUGGUUCAUUUCCCAUUCUCCACGUAAAAUCUAUAUAUGUAUCCCAAAUUAUGCAACCUGACCACCAUGCUAUAAAUACAGACAAAGAAUCAAUCACUUCUCCAUCCUCCUUUGCGUUAUUUAUAUCAAUAUAAUAUAAAUUAUUUAUAGCAGAUUUUUUUUUGUAGAGUAUAAGCUCUACUCCAUUGUUUGAAUAGUAUGCUUGAUAAAAGAUUGAAAUUUCCAGUCAUCAUUUGCUGGUAACAUGUAAAAUUAUGAGUUUUUCAAGAGUGUGUCUGAAACAUCUCACUCACAUUAAGAUAUAUCUGAGGAAGGUUUCGUCCUUUGCAAUAGUGUAGACCAAUAAUAUUGUAGUGGUGGCUUGACUUUUUAGAGGGGAAGGUGAACGCUAGGGAUGGGGGAAAAUGGUUUCUUGACGGCGGCUCUAGGAAUUUUCCUCCUUUCUUUGUGGAUGUGAAAAAUGAAAAUCAAGUUUAUUUGUGAUUUGAUGAAAUGCAUAUUUGAUUAUCAAACUGAAAUUUAAAGGGAGGGGAGGGAAAAUUAAGCGUCAACAAUGGUGCAUAUUUCAUUUGUUGUUAGCUUGGAGAAUUAAAAGCAUAACUCUUGCUUCAAUUUUGUAUCCAUGUAUUUUUCCAUCUAUAUUUAGCAAUUCAUUAUGUCAUUCACACCUAUAAAUGAAACAAAAAUACUCCAAAGUGAGUAUGUACUUUUGCCUUGACUUUUCAAGUAGAUACAAAAUUAAUAUAUCAAAAUUAGAAUACAGCAUCCGAGGAUAGAGGACUUUUGUUGCGCCAGGUUUCUUCAUUGAGUUAAAUAAAUAGGAUGAAUGAUCAUCUUUUUAAGUAACUUACAAUUAGUUUUAUCUAAGUUUUAUUUUUAUUUUAGUUUUUAGUUUUUUUUAAUUAUUUAGUUAUCUAAGUUUUAUUUGAUGACUCAAAUAUAUUUUUAAUGAUAUUAUAAGUUUUUAGUAUUGAUACUCGGGGUAAAUGCACAACACACAUGUCCAGAAACUCGUUACUGAUACAUCCAAAUAAAAGAAACGUUUUUCUAAUUUUGAAAAUUAGAGGAGAAGUAAUUAGUCUUUGCAAUCAGGAGGGAAGAAAUCAAAUAUCAACGUAAUUAACAAUUAACACUAAGAGUUUCAGCACUACAGGCUACUAUGUGCUUAAUAAUAAGCAAUGGCAUUAAAACUUAGAGUUUUGCGCACCUUUUGGCAUAACUUCACUAGGAAAAAUAAAUGGAAAAGGAUCAAGUAAAAAGCAAAAAGAAGAUUUGAGCAUUACAUCUUUACACGGAAAAGGCGAAAUACAUAGAUUACCCCCGAACUAUGGACCAAAUCCCUGUUACACUUUUUGCAAACGAAAAUAACUUUACACACUCAACCUUUACAGACUGUUCCUAAUACACACCACUUUUUUCUUGACCAGUUUUUCAAAAUAUGUAUAAUGUCACGCUCCAAUGAGAUAGUGACACGUGUUAACAUAUUAAAAAAAGAAAAAACUUUAAAUUAUAAUUAAACCCAUCUUCUUCAUCAAAUAUACCACCAUGGCUGCCAUCUCUUCGACUCCCAUUCAGAUUUCUCUACAUCUGCUAGUUCUAUUUUCACCUCAUUUUCUCCAUUAUCUUUCUUACCUUCUUCUUCUUCGUUAUUUUCUUUUCGAGCAGGUGAUUCCCAAAAUUAAUUAUCAAGAUCCGCCAUUUUCAUAGGAUUAGAUCAACAUCUCAUUAUAAGCAAACCACUUUUAGGCGGAAUGAAAAUGCUUACUCUGGCUUUCUCCUCUUCCGCUGCUUUUAAUUCUUUCAUUUCAACAAUAUUCUCAAUAUCCCAAAAAAAAUCUCAAAAUAAUUUGGACAAACCCAGAAAAUCCCUCUCCACCUUUAAAAUUCCAAAGACCAUCAAGCUUCAUUAUUCAUUAAUAAACUCUUCUUAAUUUUUAGGGAGGAGUUUCGGGAAAACAAACAGGGAUCUAGGGACGAUGAAAAAAAAAACAAGGGAGGUCUUCUGAUUGUUGAG